This 465-nucleotide ribosomal RNA is filed under the name Vreelandella stevensii. Its description in RNAcentral is "partial 16S ribosomal RNA". It matches the Rfam family "Bacterial small subunit ribosomal RNA", at positions 338 to 795 of the family's 1533-position model. Lineage: Bacteria; Pseudomonadati; Pseudomonadota; Gammaproteobacteria; Oceanospirillales; Halomonadaceae. The record is from RNAcentral.
CCUACGGGUGGCAGCAGUGGGGAAUAUUGGACAAUGGGGGCAACCCUGAUCCAGCCAUGCCGCGUGUGUGAAGAAGGCCCUCGGGUUGUAAAGCACUUUCAGUGAGGAAGAACGCCUGGUGGUUAAUACCCAUCAGGAAAGACAUCACUCACAGAAGAAGCACCGGCUAACUCCGUGCCAGCAGCCGCGGUAAUACGGAGGGUGCGAGCGUUAAUCGGAAUUACUGGGCGUAAAGCGCGCGUAGGUGGCUUGAUAAGCCGGUUGUGAAAGCCCCGGGCUCAACCUGGGAACGGCAUCCGGAACUGUCAAGCUAGAGUGCAGGAGAGGAAGGUAGAAUUCCCGGUGUAGCGGUGAAAUGCGUAGAGAUCGGGAGGAAUACCAGUGGCGAAGGCGGCCUUCUGGACUGACACUGACACUGAGGUGCGAAAGCGUAGGUAGCAAACAGGAUUAGAUACCCGGGUAGUC